CGCCUCUUACCCCGGGCGGGUCCAAGAGUCCCCCAACGAGGUCCAGAGCGUGUUUUCAAGUUGGGUGACGUUGUCCCACAGCAGCGCCACAGCCUCGGAAGUCAGAUGCGGCCGCCGCACGCAGCUCGCGAACUGGGGGCCGCCCGAGGCGUCCACAAUCUGGCAGCGGCGCAAGAGUGGGCAAGCUAUCAGACCUUCUUGAAGUGGAACCCUCCUGCUGCAGGCAGCCCUCAGGCCGGGGGUGUCUCACCAUUUGCAGAGGUCCGAACAGGAAGUGCAGCAGUUCUGGGGAGGAGGGGUUGGCGAUGUUGCUGCGCAGCCGGGCCUGUGGAGCCGGGGAGGUGCUGGUAUUAGUGCGCGGACAGGUCAGGUUUGUUAUUCCCCUCGCCCCCUGACGCCCCGGGAUGAACGCGUCCUCACCAGCAAGCUGAAGGCGUACUUGAUUUUCUGAAGCACAUCAAUGAACUCGGCCUCUGAGGGCGGCUUGGCCCGCAGCGUCAGGAGGCCCUCUGUGGGUAGAGAGGCAGGCGCGGUGAUGGGGCACAUGCAGACAGCGUCAGGCAGGGUCGAAGAGAGAGGCAGAGACCCAGUGAGAUCGCGAUAGGGAGUCAAACUGGCAGGGGGUGCAAGGGGAGACCCAAGGGAGAGGGUGGAUAUUUGGGAGUGGCCAGGAAGGGGGUGUUCAGGAUUGCCACUCGGUGGCGCCUCCUCACCCCCGGCCUCCCGGUGCCGGGUCCUGCGGCUGCGCUCUCGGUGCUCCAGCACUCGGGUCGCCUCGGCAGACUUCUGCAGCCUUGAUACGAAGGUCUCCACGUCGUCGAACACGUGGUUCAGGAUGUCCUGGGGGGCAGAGCAGGGGAUGCGUGGGACCCCUGAAUCUUGGACCCUCAUCACCCCUGUCCAAGCCCCUCUCAAACCAAGGGCGCUUAGGCACAUUUAGGCCGGGCCACGCCCUCUGAUGCUUGACUCUGCCCCCACUCUGUCCCCUCCGGCCACCCCCCCAGAAGUCUGACCAAGUCCCCAGAACCAAGCCCCACCCCCUGACAGAAGAUUCACACCUGCAGCCAGUCCCGCCCCGGCCCUAGCCCCGCCUCACUCACCACUUCCCGCUCCGCCUGCAGACUGGCCAGGUCUGGGCCGCAGGGGCCCAGGUCCCGAGAGGUCGGGUCAGCGCUGCUGCAGACCUCCGCCCGGCCCGGCCUCCGCAUCUCUGCAGUCUCUGGGAUGGGGUCCGCCUGGGGUCGCCCGCGGCCCGUGGCCGGCUCCACCGUGUUGAUCGCGGCGCGGACCGUCGGGCGGUGCUGCAGGGGCGGGGUCUCGGCGGCGGGCGAGGGGUGGCACUGCAGCUCCUUUCGCGUAGCCCUGCGGGGGAAGAAGGGGAAACUAAGGCUGGGCACACCGAGGGGUCCGGGGAGGGGAGAAAUUCGGGGCUUCAAUCUGAAACACUGUGGCCCAAAGGGGUCAAACCUAGGCUCUCAGUGGUAGGGAGAAAUCCGAUAUAUGGGGGAUGGGAGAGCACCUCUCCGGAGGGAAACUGAGGCAGAGGGAGGAGAAACCGAGGGGAGGGGCGUAUACUUGGUACAGGGUUUGUUUGACUCCAUUUAAAACUCGUUCUGCUCUAGGCUAGUGGUAUCCACCGAUUUCUCAGUUGGGGAAACUAAGGCCCAAAGAGGGGAGCUGGCUCCCCAGAGACCUCCCCGUCGUCUCUUCUCCCCAGCUUCCAGCCCGACCCCCUUACCUGAGCGCCGCCGCCCUGCGCUCCCCGCGGCCCGAGCGAUAGUUGUGCAGAGCCCCCUGGAUGUCCUCUCGGAUCAGCUCCGCCUGUCAAUCACGCCGUCAGGCCACGACCGCAACCCACCCACUGCCCGCCCAGGCGGCUCUCCGAAUCGAUUCCUCAGCUCGGCCCCAGACCACGUCCAGUCAUGGCUCACGCACUGCGCCCACGCACGUCCACGCCCUGAACUCACACCCUGGCUCUUAAACUGUCCCUGCCUUAGGCCCCUCCCCCAACCACGGAGGCCCCGUCCACAUGGCGCUUCGCCCCUGACCACACUCACUCCCAUCCUAGUUCUGGCUGCUCCCCCAGACCCUCACUUCCAUGUUCUGUCCACGUUCUGUCCGAGCUCUUAGCUCUUAGCCUCCGUCUCCAUUCGGCCCUCUCGUUCCUUCUCGACCCUACGUUCAAUCUGUUCUCAAAUCCCCCUCCCUCCCAGAAUUCCUUUACAGGUCACGCCCCCUCCGCUGGCCCUGACCCCGCCUUUGCCGUACACCGUGCCCCCCGUCUUAGAGGCCCCGCCCCGUUGGGGGUCCGGCUCCGGACUCCGCCCAGUUUCAGCUCCGCGCCCGGAAUCCGCAGGGUCUCAGUCUGUGGCCCCGACCCCCGCUCGCUCACCGCCAGACGCAGGCCCUGGAAGAAGUGCACGUCGGGCUGCGUGCGCUCGGGCUCCUGGCACACGAGCAGCAGCAGUGAGCAGCUCUGGCCCGGCGGUAUCACCGUGUCGCAACGCACGAUGGCGCUCAGCGGCACAGGCGCUGGUCCAGAGGAAAAGUUGGCAGAUUCAAGUGGAAUUGAGUUCCUCCACUGAGUACCCACAUCUGAGGCAAGGCAGGAGUCCACUUUGCAGAUGAGCAAACUGAGUUUCCCAAGUUCUUGCUGCUUGGAGGUCCAACUGCUUUCAACUCCCCCACCUCCUCAGGCCUGCCUUGCCUCCUGCAAGACUCCCCGUGGCAACACAGACCCCAGACUCACAUUGACUGGAUAUUGGGAAACAUCGGCCAUAACCUCGGGGCCUCUCCUUCCUGCUCACUCCCAGGGCCCUCCCUCCUCCACAUACCUGAGCACUCACCUGGUACAGCCUGCUGGCGUGGCCCCUGGGCGGGGCUGGCUGACAGACCCAGGGCGCCGGCUGGGAUGUCCUCAGGGGAGCCAGAAAGCUUAUUGUCUCCAUCACAACAGGAGAAACUACAGUAAUUCGAUGUCAAACUCCUUCACGCGUCAGAAAUACCCGCUUCGAAUUCUCCUGGUAUCUCUGCGAUUCUCCUGGUAUCUCUGCUAAGUUGACUGCCGCUUGUUCAUGGUCAAUGUGGAAGGGUGGGCUUUGAACCCGGAGCCACCUUUCCAUCUCCAGGGCUGGUGUCCAUCCCUGCUCUGUGCACACCUCCUCUCUGGCGUUCCUAUCUCCACCGGUGCCCUCGGCCCCCAGCCCUCCCCUUCCCUCCUCCUUUGGAAAUGUCCCUCAGUAAUUCCCGAUAACGAUGACAGCUAAGACUCAAUGCCCAACACUGCUCCAAGGGCAUCACAAAAAUGAACAGGCUCCCCAGGCAUGAAAAUCUCCUUUCGAGAACUUCCCCUGUGCCAUGGACCUCGCUAACUGAGUUAUACACACCGCUUCUUCCCCGAACCCAGUGGAGUGAGUGUUGGGGUGUCUCCAUUUGGCAGAUGAGGAAACUGAGGCUCACAAGGGCUCAGAGACUUGCUCAGAGUUACACAUGCAGUGAGUGGUCUCCCUGCCGUCUUCCUCCCCAGUCCGGUCUCAAUGCAUGGACCCCCAUAGAAACCUAAAUCAGCUUACGUCACUCCACUCUCAAAAGGCUUCGGUGGCUCCCCAUUUCUCUGGAUAAAAGAGAAGACCUUCUACAAGGCCUUAAGUGAUGGUACCCUACCUCAUCUCUUCCUUUGCUCCUUGAGUACCCAGAUGCCAUUCUGCCUCAGGGCCUUUGCACUUGCUGUACCCGCUGCCUGGAAAGCUCUUCUCAUAUCCGUCGAUGAGAAGAGGCUUGCUCCCUCAUCUUCUUCAGGUCUUCGCUUGAAUGGCAGCACCUCGGGAGGCCUGGCUGGCAACCUUGUUUAACAUGGCAGCACCUCUGACCCGUCCCUCCUUCAGAGUCUCUUCCCCCUCCCCCAACAUUUAGUUUCUCUCCAGAUCAUUUAUCACCCUGUAACUCACAUAUUACCUGUUUAUUUUGUCUGUUUUAUGUCCUCCCCAUUAGAAUGUAAGGCUUCAGGACAACAAAGACUAUUGUGUGUUCAGUUCCCCAAUGUACCUGCAGCAUAUAGAAUAGGGUCUUGCACGUAGUAAGUGCUGGAGUGACAUUUGUUGAAUUACUGAGUUUUUGCAUUUGGUGCACUUGUGUGCAUUUUUGCUUCACUGAACACAUGUUGACCCCACAGUCUCUACUACGAGAGGCUGGAAACCAGAGAAGGCACAUCCUUGUCCUGGAUUGAUGGGGAAGAAAGAACAGACAGAAAGAGAGAUAAUCCUAUUGUGUGGUGUGAUCAUAAAGAGCCCAGGCAUGUGGGAUCCUAGCUCCGCGAUCAGGGAUCGAACCCGCACCCACUGCAUUGGAAGGCGAAGUCUUAACCACUGGACUGCCAGGGAAGUCCCUGAAAUUAACUAUCUUAAAUUGAACUGAGUAGCAUUUAGUACACUGACAAUGUUAUGCAACCAUCAUAUCCAUCUAAUUCCCAAACAUUUUCACCCUCCCCAAAUAAAGUCCAUACCCAUUAGAAGUCACUCCCUAUUCCUUCCUCCCCACAGCCCCUGAAAACCACCAUUUGCUUUCUGUCUCUGUGGAUUUGCCUGUUCUGGACGUUGCCUAUAAAUGGAAUCAUACAAUAUGUGACCUCAUAGUGUUUUUGAAGUUCAUCUAUUUUCUUUUUAACAUCUUUAUCGGAGUAUAAUUGCUCUACAAUGGUGUGUUAGUUUCUGCUUUAUAACAAAGUGAAUCAGCCGUAUGUCUAUGUUGUAUUGGUCCAGUGUUGAAAUAAUUUCAGACUUGUAGAAAAGUUGCAAAAGCAUACAGAGAAAACCUCUGCUGGGUUUCUGUACAUUUUUUCCUUUGUAAUAAAUAAGUAUCUUGGGGAGAGCUACUUUGAGACUAUGCAAAUAUCCUCUGUGUCAUGAAACUUUUAACUCAUUAGUUUUGGCAUCUACGGAUGCUUCCUGCCUGAAUCGAGGAUGACCAAGAUGGUUCCCCAACGGCAAUUGAGUUAAGUUUCAAAAGGAUUGCCUAAUUUCUGUGUGGAGAACAGGGGGAAGCAGGGAGACCAGCUAGGAGGCUUUCAUAUUAAUCCAGUGAGAGAUGGUAGCAAUGGACAUGCUGAGACAUGGUCAGAUUUUUGGAUAUAUUUUCAAGGAAGAGCUGGCAGGCAUUGAGAGAAAAAGAGGAGAUAAGCAUGACUCCAUGUUUUGCUCUAGGCAAUGGGAAGACUGGAGUUCCUAUUUUCUGAGAUGGGAUUGCUGCUGUAACAGAAAGACCUGGACUAUUAGUGGCUUAAAUCGGGUUGAAGUUUAUUUAUUGCAGUUGAUCCAGGGCCCGUUUGGCAGCUCCAUAAUCAUCAGGGACCCAGGCUCUUUCCAUCUCAUUACUCUGGCAAAAUAAGGUUUCCACCUCAUGGUCCAAAAUGGCUGCCUCAGGUCCUGCCAUCAGAUCUGCCUUGCAGCCAGAAGAAAGGAAGAAAGAGGGCACGUGUCUUUUCAUUUUGAGUACACAUGUCCUUUUUGCUCACAUCUCGUCUAAGUCAGAACUUAGACACAUGGCCACAGCUAGGUGCAGAGGAGGCUGGGAAAUGAUUCUUUGUUCUAUGUGCUCACGUGCCCAGCUAUGAACCAGUGGCUCUAGUAUUAUGAGCAAGAAAGGAAGAAUGUAUGUUUGGGGAACAACUAGUCAACUUUCCCUAAUGGGUCCUGAAUGCUGCUCUUCCUACAUCCCUUAUGUCCCUCUCCAGUCCGUAUUCUACAUCUCACCUGGAAACAAAAUUCCUAAAACAUAGAUCUGCUCAUGACCUUCCAUGGCUCAUUACUCUUUCAUGGGCCUCCAGUAUCCUCUGAAUUAAAGCCAAGUUUCUCAGCCUGGCAUUUGAGCCAUAAUCUGGCUCCACCUUCCAACCACUCCAGCCUCAUUCCUUCCACCCCAUCCACACCUUACACUCCCACAAUAUCCGCACGUACCUGUGUGCUACCUUUUCCUUAAGCUGAUCCCACAGUCUGCAGCAUCCUUUCUGGCCUAAGGAAAUCCUUUCUGUUUGUAUCACUGUGAUCAACACCACAUCCUGCAGGAAACUUGCCCAGCCUCCUUACAGUGGGGCCCUCUGCCUCUCACAAACUCUCAGAGUCCCCGUCACCCCAUCCUAGCGGAGAGGUCAGCUAUUUGUAUGGUGCCUGCUUUACUCCAGGCAAACUCACUAAGUCUUUCCUUUCCUGUCGUCCUUCCUUCUCACCACCCUUCCCUCCUGUCCACACUCUGCCCCUCCUCCCUUUUGCCUUCCUGUCCUCCCAGUUAUGGAGCAUGAAAGCACUGCACUCAACACCUGUACUAAACAAAGAAUCAAUUUUUCCAGUUACUAAGGUCAUGCGACAAAUCAUUCCAAGACCUAGUGGCUUCAGACAACGGCCACAUUUAGUUUGCUCACGAACCUGCCAUCUGCACAGGGCUUGGUGGAGGUGACACAUCUCUGCUCUACAUGGUGACAACGGGGGUGGAUUGGAAGCUGGGGCAGUGUCUUGGAUGGAAAGGCUCAAACAGCUGGAGCAUGGACCAAUUAGGGCUCCUCCACCAUCUGACCUUUUCUCUAUGUGGUCUGUCCAGCAUGGUAGCUUCAAGGUAGAGAAACGUGUUUCUUACAUGUCAGUUAAGGGUUCUGAAAAUGCAUGGAGAGAGAGAGAGAGAGAGAGAGAGAGAAUGACUUGGGUAUGAUAAGCCCUCUGCUGGGGGAAGAGUCCUCUCAGUACCUGGAACAGCACCCAACAUUUAUCAGGAAUUUAUUAACAACUUCAACAAUGAUAAAGGGAUGCAUAGCUUACCUGGUAGCCGGAAGAGAUAUUCUAAACACCUUGGGUGCAUAUGGGAAUCACGUAGGAGGUCCUCAGAGGAAGGAAUUUGGAUGCAUUGUUCUGUUUAUAGUAACAACAGUACAGCCAUCAAUGCUCUGGCAUUUACUGUGGGUUAGAUCUUUGUCAUGAAUUACUUUCUGUCCUCCUUCCAAACUUCGUGACAGGGGCCAGCAAACUGUGUCCCUCCACUUGUUUUUGUAAAUAAAGUUUUAU
Long non-coding RNA from Globicephala melas (long-finned pilot whale), 7046 nucleotides. RefSeq lists it as uncharacterized. NCBI's taxonomy places the organism in Eukaryota, Metazoa, Chordata, Mammalia, Artiodactyla, Delphinidae. The record is from RefSeq and is a predicted model, not a curated record.